Molecule: ribosomal RNA, 594 nt
Filed under: Saccharomyces cerevisiae (brewer's yeast)
Lineage: Eukaryota; Fungi; Ascomycota; Saccharomycetes; Saccharomycetales; Saccharomycetaceae
Description: eukaryotic LSU rRNA
Rfam family: Eukaryotic large subunit ribosomal RNA
Source: RNAcentral
GGGAUUGCCUUAGUAACGGCGAGUGAAGCGGCAAAAGCUCAAAUUUGAAAUCUGGUACCUUCGGUGCCCGAGUUGUAAUUUGGAGAGGGCAACUUUGGGGCCGUUCCUUGUCUAUGUUCCUUGGAACAGGACGUCAUAGAGGGUGAGAAUCCCGUGUGGCGAGGAGUGCGGUUCUUUGUAAAGUGCCUUCGAAGAGUCGAGUUGUUUGGGAAUGCAGCUCUAAGUGGGUGGUAAAUUCCAUCUAAAGCUAAAUAUUGGCGAGAGACCGAUAGCGAACAAGUACAGUGAUGGAAAGAUGAAAAGAACUUUGAAAAGAGAGUGAAAAAGUACGUGAAAUUGUUGAAAGGGAAGGGCAUUUGAUCAGACAUGGUGUUUUGUGCCCUCUGCUCCUUGUGGGUAGGGGAAUCUCGCAUUUCACUGGGCCAGCAUCAGUUUUGGUGGCAGGAUAAAUCCAUAGGAAUGUAGCUUGCCUCGGUAAGUAUUAUAGCCUGUGGGAAUACUGCCAGCUGGGACUGAGGACUGCGACGUAAGUCAAGGAUGCUGGCAUAAUGGUUAUAUGCCGCCCGUCUUGAAACACGGACCUCCUGUGUGAAG